This 1492-nucleotide ribosomal RNA is filed under the name uncultured Bordetella sp. Its description in RNAcentral is "partial 16S-23S ribosomal RNA intergenic spacer". It matches the Rfam family "Bacterial small subunit ribosomal RNA". The record is from RNAcentral. Lineage: Bacteria; Pseudomonadati; Pseudomonadota; Betaproteobacteria; Burkholderiales; Alcaligenaceae.
GGUUGAUCAUGGCUCAGAUUGAACGCUGGCGGGAUGCUUUACACAUGCAAGUCGAACGGCAGCACGGACUUCGGUCUGGUGGCGAGUGGCGAACAGGGUGAGUAAUGUAUCGGAACGAUGCCCUGUGGCAAGGGAUAACCACGCGAAAGCGUAGCUAAUACCCGCAUACGCCCUUCGGGGAAAGCGGGGGACCUUCGGGCCUCGCACUAUUAGAGCGGCCGAUAUCAGUUUAGCUAGUUGGUGGGAGGUAACGGCUCACCAAGGCGACGAUCCGUAGCUGGUUUGAGAGGACGACCAGCCACACUGGGACUGAGACACAGCCCAGACUCCUACGGGGAGGCAGCAGUGAAGGAAUUUUGGACAAUGGGGAAACCCUGAUCAGCAUCCCGCGUGUGCGAUGAAGGCCUUCGGGUUGUAAACGCUUUUGGCAGGAAAAAAACGGCACGGGAUAAUACCCGUGCAGCGGCGUACUACCAGAAUAAGCACCGGCUAACUACGUGCCAGCAGCCGCGGUAAUACGUAGGGUGCAAGCGUUAAUCGGAAUUACUGGGCGUAAAGCGUGCGCAGGCGGUUCGGAAAGAAAGAUGUGAUAUCCCAGAGCUUAACGGAACUGCAUUUUUAACUACCGAGCUAGAGUGUGUGUGAGGAGGUGGAAUUCCGCGUGUAGCAGUGAAAUGCGUAAAUUAUUAUGCGGAGGAACACCGAUGGCGAAGGCAACCUCCUGGGAUAACACUGACGCUCAUGCACGAAAGCGUGGGGAGCAAACAGGAUUAGAUACCCUGAAGUCCCGCCCUAAACGAUGUCAACUAGCUGUUGAGACUUCGGGCCUUGGUAGCGCAAGCUAACGCGUGAAAGUUGACCGCCUGGGGAGAGUACGGUCGCAAGAUUAAAACUCAAAGGAAUUGACGGGGACCCGCACAAGCGGUGGAUGAUGUAUGGAUUAAUUCGAUGCAACAUGAAAAACCUUACCUACCCUUGACAUGUCUGGAAUCGAAGAGAUUUGGGAGUGCUCGCAAGAGAACCGGAACACAGGUGCUGCAUGGCUGUGUCAGCUCGUGUCGUGAGAUGUUGGGUUAAGUCCCGCAGCGAGCGCAACCCUUGUCAUUAGUUGCUACGAAAGGGCACUCUAAUGAGACUGCCGGUGACAAACCGGAGGAAGGUGGGGAUGACGUCAAGUCCUCAUGGCCCUUAUGGGUAGGGCUUCACACGUCACCUGGUAAUGGUCGGGACAGAGGGUCGCCAACCCGCGAGGGGAGCCAAUCCCAGAAACCCGAUCGUAGUCCGGAUGCCAGUCUGCAACUCGACUGCGUGAAGUCGGAAUCGCUAGUAAUCGCGGAUCAGCAUGUCGCGGUGAAUACGUUCCCGGGUCUUGUACACACCGCCCGUCCGCACCAUGGGAGUGGGUUUUACCAGAAGUAGUUAGCCUAACCAGCGUAAGGAGGGCGAUUACCACGGUAGGAUUCAUGACUGGGGUGAAGUCGUAACAAGGUAA